GACGAACGCUGGCGGCGUGCCUAAUACAUGCAAGUAGAACGCUGAAGGAGGAGCUUGCUUCUCUGGAUGAGUUGCGAACGGGUGAGUAACGCGUAGGUAACCUGCCUGGUAGCGGGGGAUAACUAUUGGAAACGAUAGCUAAUACCGCAUAAUAGUAGAUGUUGCAUGACAUUUGCUUAAAAGGUGCAAUUGCAUCACUACCAGAUGGACCUGCGUUGUAUUAGCUAGUUGGUGGGGUAACGGCUCACCAAGGCGACGAUACAUAGCCGACCUGAGAGGGUGAUCGGCCACACUGGGACUGAGACACGGCCCAGACUCCUACGGGAGGCAGCAGUAGGGAAUCUUCGGCAAUGGACGGAAGUCUGACCGAGCAACGCCGCGUGAGUGAAGAAGGUUUUCGGAUCGUAAAGCUCUGUUGCAAGAGAAGAACGAGUGUGAGAGUGGAAAGUUCACAAUGUGACGGUAUCUUACCAGAAAGAGACGGCUAACUACGUG
This 495-nucleotide ribosomal RNA is filed under the name uncultured bacterium. RNAcentral's name for it is "partial 16S ribosomal RNA". It matches the Rfam family "Bacterial small subunit ribosomal RNA", at positions 28 to 507 of the family's 1533-position model. The record is from RNAcentral.